Molecule: ribosomal RNA, 301 nt
Filed under: uncultured bacterium
Lineage: Bacteria
Description: partial 16S ribosomal RNA
Rfam family: Bacterial small subunit ribosomal RNA
Source: RNAcentral
CAGCAGCCGCGGUAAUUCGUAGGUGGCAAGCGUUGUCCGGAAUUAUUGGGCGUAAAGGGCUCGCAGGCGGUUUCUUAAGUCUGAUGUGAAAGCCCCCGGCUCAACCGGGGAGGGUCAUUGGAAACUGGGAAACUUGAGUGCAGAAGAGGAGAGUGGAAUUCCACGUGUAGCGGUGAAAUGCGUAGAGAUGUGGAGGAACACCAGUGGCGAAGGCGACUCUCUGGUCUGUAACUGACGCUGAGGAGCGAAAGCGUGGGGAGCGAACAGGAUUAGAUACCCGCGUAGUCCCUGUCUCUUAUAC